Long non-coding RNA from Sebastes umbrosus (honeycomb rockfish), 284 nucleotides. RefSeq lists it as uncharacterized. The transcript has 3 exons. The record is from RefSeq and is a predicted model, not a curated record. NCBI's taxonomy places the organism in Eukaryota, Metazoa, Chordata, Actinopteri, Perciformes, Sebastidae.
CAUUUAAUCGAUUAAAAGAGAAAAUAAUUGACAGAUUGAUCGACAUUGAAAAUAAUCUUUAGUUGCAACCCUAAGUGAAUGUUUUAACGGAGUAGUUCAACACUUUGGGAUAUACAGUUAUUCACUGUCUCGCCAAGAGUUAGAUGAGUAGAUGGAUACCACUCUCACAUCUGUCUCUUCAAUGUGAAGCUGGAGCCGUGAGCCAAGUUAGCUUAGCUUAGCAUAAAGAGUGGAAACAGGGGGAAACGGCUAGCCUGGCUCUGUCUGUCUGUUAAAUAAAGCUC